This 484-nucleotide ribosomal RNA is filed under the name uncultured bacterium. RNAcentral describes it as "partial 16S ribosomal RNA". It matches the Rfam family "Bacterial small subunit ribosomal RNA", at positions 30 to 507 of the family's 1533-position model. The record is from RNAcentral.
AUUGAACGCUGGCGGCAGGCCUAACACAUGCAAGUCGAGCGGAUGAAGGGAGCUUGCUCCUGGAUUCAGCGGCGGACGGGUGAGUAAUGCCUAGGAAUCUGCCUGGUAGUGGGGGAUAACGUCCGGAAACGGGCGCUAAUACCGCAUACGUCCUGAGGGAGAAAGUGGGGGAUCUUCGGACCUCACGCUAUCAGAUGAGCCUAGGUCGGAUUAGCUAGUUGGUGGGGUAAGGGCCUACCAAGGUGACGAUCCGUAACUGGUCUGAGAGGAUGAUCAGUCACACUGGAACUGAGACACGGUCCAGACUCCUACGGGAGGCAGCAGUGGGGAAUAUUGGACAAUGGGCGAAAGCCUGAUCCAGCCAUGCCGCGUGUGUGAAGAAGGUCUUCGGAUUGUAAAGCACUUUAAGUUGGGAGGAAGGGCAGUAAGUUAAUACCUUGCUGUUUUGACGUUACCAACAGAAUAAGCACCGGCUAACUUCGUG